GGGGUUGUAGCUCAGUGGUAGAGCACUUGCCUAGCAUGUGUGAGGCUGGGGUUUGAUCCCCACCACCACA
This 70-nucleotide transfer RNA is filed under the name Ictidomys tridecemlineatus (thirteen-lined ground squirrel). RNAcentral describes it as "Spermophilus tridecemlineatus (thirteen-lined ground squirrel) tRNA". It matches the Rfam family "tRNA". From Rfam's summary of the family: Transfer RNA (tRNA) molecules are approximately 80 nucleotides in length. Their secondary structure includes four short double-helical elements and three loops (D, anti-codon, and T loops). Further hydrogen bonds mediate the characteristic L-shaped molecular structure. tRNAs have two regions of fundamental functional importance: the anti-codon, which is responsible for specific mRNA codon recognition, and the 3' end, to which the tRNAs corresponding amino acid is attached (by aminoacyl-tRNA synthetases). tRNAs cope with the degeneracy of the genetic code in two manners: having more than one tRNA (with a specific anti-codon) for a particular amino acid; and 'wobble' base-pairing, i.e. permitting non-standard base-pairing at the 3rd anti-codon position. The record is from Rfam by way of RNAcentral. Lineage: Eukaryota; Metazoa; Chordata; Mammalia; Rodentia; Sciuridae.